Molecule: long non-coding RNA, 1335 nt
Organism: Lagenorhynchus albirostris (white-beaked dolphin)
Lineage: Eukaryota; Metazoa; Chordata; Mammalia; Artiodactyla; Delphinidae
Exons: 8
Source: RefSeq, a predicted model, not a curated record
CUGAGAUGACGCCACUUGCUCCUAAUCUGCGUAAGAUGAGCCCAGGGUGUAGGCCUCGUUUCCUGGAGGACCCAAGAGCACUGGACUGUGAAGACACAGCAAGAAGUCAGCUGCCUGAGACCCUGGGAGGGCCCUCACCUGACCAUGCUGGUACCCUGAUCUUGGACUUCUGACCUGCAGAACUAAGCAGGUCUCCUGCCCGGUAGCAGGAGUUAGUCUGAUGGACACAUGGGGCCUGUCGAGAAGGGUGCUGAAGCCUCUCACUGUCAUGGCCUCUCCCGUUGCGGAGCACAGGCUCCGGACGCGCAGGCUCAGCGGCCAUGGCUCACGGGCCCAGCCGCUCCGCGGCCUGUGGGAUCUUCCCGGACUGGGGCACGAACCCGCGUCCCCUGCAUCGGCAGGCGGACUCCCAACCACUGCGCCACCAGGGAAGCCCUGCUGUGAACAUUUUUGGACACGUGUUUUGCAAUUCAAAGGACAUCAUGCUGGGUCCCAGCUGACACCUCAAGAUCCUCACGGAGCGAAGCUUGAAGACGAGGACUCCUGUUGCAGGAGGAAAGCUGGGCUGGGACUGAAAGGCCCUGCUGGCGCUGCUCAGAGACUCCUCCACCGUGGGCACUGCCUGCUUGGGUACCAGGCACUGAGCUAGGCGCUCUGUGUUCUUACUGCGUUUAUUCCUCCCACCACCCUUGCAAAAUAGAUGCUCUUAUAAGCUUUUCUAGGACGCCUCUGAGAGUGAGAGGGGGCUCUGCGGACAAUGAGGCUAGGACAACAGACAUAAAAUGGGACUGUCCCAGGCAAGUCGGGGCGUCUGAUCACCCCACCCUGGUCAGAAGCACACCCUCCCCGUCGUGGCCGCCAGAACCAUCUCUGGGAGGCGUCCCAUUAAGGAAAUGAGAACCCCGUUAGCACACGGCAUGGGAGAGUAAGUGAUCAAGAAACGUGCGAUCAAUAAACAAGUACCAGCUACACGUGGUGGUGGUAAUCACCUGUUUGCUCUAGCUCUGGGGGCCCUGUUGCAGCCGGGCGUCGGGGAAGCGGCAUCUAAAUCUCCCUGUGAAGCAGGAAGGAGGACUCUGGCUCUGGAGCCUGGCACGCAGCAGGAGCGCGGGCCUUGGGGCCGAUAGAGCAGACCCACACAUCGGCCAGUGAUUAACCGAGACGUCCCCCUCCGGCCAUUUUGGGUCUUGCUGCGCCGUCUGGAAAGAAAAGCAUCCCACCAGCAAGAGGACGACAUUUUGACACGGUGCCUCUUCCCGCCGGUUUUCAGGAUUCAGGAUGCCACCUCCUCCAGAAAGUCUUUCCAGAUGCUUCCUCUCUGUCCCUCAUCUGAGC